RNAcentral lists this ribosomal RNA (1042 nucleotides) under Bazzania sp. Davis 146. RNAcentral's name for it is "eukaryotic LSU rRNA". It matches the Rfam family "Eukaryotic large subunit ribosomal RNA", at positions 64 to 1112 of the family's 3401-position model. Lineage: Eukaryota; Viridiplantae; Streptophyta; Jungermanniopsida; Jungermanniales; Lepidoziaceae. The record is from RNAcentral.
ACUAACUAGGAUUUCCCUAGUAGCGGCGAGCGAACCGGAAAGAGCCCAGCUUGAAAAUCGUGAGGCUUUGCGUCACGAAUUGUAGUCUGGAGAAGCGUCCUCUGCAGCGGACCGGGCCCAAGUUCCCUGGAACGGGACGUCAGAGAGGGUGAGAGCCCCGUCGAGCUCGGACCCUGCUGCUCCACGAGGCACUGUCGGCGAGUCGGGCUGUUUGGGAAUGCAGCCCUAAGUGGGUGGUAAAUUCCAUCCAAGGCUAAAUAGUGGCAGGAGACCGAUAGCRAACAAGUACCGCGAGGGAAAGAUGAAAAGGACUUUGAAAAGAGAGUUAAAGAGUGCUUGAAAUUGCUGGGAGGGAAGCGAAUGGAGGCUGCGGGUGCACCCCGGUUGGAUGCGGAACGGCGUUUCGCUGGUCCGCCGCUCAACGCGGGGUGGUGGUCAGCGUGGGCUAGCCCGGCGGGACAAGAGGUAGCUUUAUGUUGCUGGCUUAUGCCGUUGGGGUGGCCGAGGAAGGAAGCGCGCGCCUUCGGGCGGCCCUCGGGACCUGCGCGCUCGGGACGCUGGCGUAUUGAGCUUUCCAUCCGGCCCGUCUUGAAACACGGACCAAGGAGUCUAACAUGUAUGCGAGCCGGUGGGUGGCAAACCCAGGGAGGCGCAAGUAAGCUGACAGGUGGGAUCCGCAAGGAGCACCAUCGACCGACCAUGAUCUUCUGUGAAAGGUUUGAGUGCGAGCAUACCUGCUGGGACCCGAAAGAUGGUGAACUAUGCCUGAGCAGGGCGAAGCCAGAGGAAACUCUGGUGGAGGCUCGUAGCGAUACUGACGUGCAAAUCGUUCGUCAGACUUGGGUAUAGGGGCGAAAGACUAAUCGAACCAUCUAGUAGCUGGUUCCCUCCGAAGUUUCCCUCAGGAUAGCUGGAGCUCAUGUGCGAGUUUUAUCAGGUAAAGCGAAUGAUUAGAGGCAUCGGGGGUGAAACACCCUCGACCUAUUCUCAAACUUUAAAUGGGUAAGCCGUCGGGGUUGCUUGAUUGAACCCCGACAGAGAA